UACAGUGGAUUUGGAUGGACAAUCAUGU
This 28-nucleotide small RNA is filed under the name Bombyx mori (domestic silkworm). Its description in RNAcentral is "ovarian small RNA-20334". The record is from RNAcentral. Lineage: Eukaryota; Metazoa; Arthropoda; Insecta; Lepidoptera; Bombycidae.